RNAcentral lists this ribosomal RNA (450 nucleotides) under uncultured bacterium. Its description in RNAcentral is "SSU rRNA". It matches the Rfam family "Bacterial small subunit ribosomal RNA", at positions 26 to 518 of the family's 1533-position model. The record is from RNAcentral.
AGAGCGAACGCUGGCGGCAUGCUUAACACAUGCAAGUCGCACGGGCAGGGGAAACCCUGUCAGUGGCGGACGGGUGAGUAACGCGUAGGAAUCUAUCUCUGGGUGGGGGACAACCGUGGGAAACUACGGCUAAUACCGCAUGACACCUGAGGGUCAAAGGCGCAAGUCGCCUGGAGAGGAGCCUGCGUACGAUUAGCUUGUUGGUGGGGUAAAGGCCUACCAAGGCGACGAUCGUUAGCUGGUCUGAGAGGAUGAUCAGCCACAUUGGGACUGAGACACGGCCCAAACUCCUACGGGAGGCAGCAGUGGGGAAUAUUGGACAAUGGGCGAAAGCCUGAUCCAGCAAUGCCGCGUGGGUGAAGAAGGUCUUCGGAUUGUAAAGCCCUUUCGACGGGGACGAUGAUGACGGUACCCGUAGAAGAGCCCGGCUAACUUCGCGCCAGCAGCCGC